Long non-coding RNA from Apis florea (little honeybee), 783 nucleotides. The record is from RefSeq and is a predicted model, not a curated record. NCBI's taxonomy places the organism in Eukaryota, Metazoa, Arthropoda, Insecta, Hymenoptera, Apidae.
AAAUCAGAGUUUGUUCUACAUAAAUAUAACAAAUACGUUUACAUGGAAUGCUUCACUAUCAAAGUCGCGUCAAUACAGUACAAAAGGAGUCGCGAGUACAUUUUACAGACAAGUACAUUUAUUUGACAUAUCCGAAUGGGGGACUCUGAACUUCCUUCUUUUGUUAUCCGUCCAACGAUAUCGUUCAACAAGGAUUCGUCGCUGUGAAAAAGACAGAUAAGGCGGAAGAAUCCGGCGGGCAACAAUCGCUUCGGACUUCGGUCAACGAAAGAAACGAAAAAUUUCCUCGAGAAAUUACUUUGUUGAAAAUUUCUUUGCUCGAUCGAUCACCCUUCCUCGAUCAUCUUUAUCGACGAAUAUCGACGAAUCCUCGUGAACAAAAUAUUUGCAAAAAGUAUACAUCAAUAGAUUCGUGUAGACGAAGGGCAACGAAACGAAUGACAUGACAUCAUAUAAAUAAAAAUGAAAGUGAAUCGCGACAGAAUUUCCAACUCGAAAUAAGAAUGUGAGAAAUGACCGCGAGAAAGGUAUCGAGAUCAUACAGGUACAAUUUCCAGUAUUCAAAUAAGUAUACGUAAACUUUAUUUCGUCAGAUUUAUCAUAUUGUGUUAAUGGUACGUAUGUAUAAAUAUAUACACAUAUAUGUAUAACUCUUACGUGCCAGUUUCGUUUACGUUGUUACAUUAUGCGCUGUAAUCAGAUAAGUUGAUUAGUCCUUACGUCUAAGGAAAGGAGAUUCGACGAACGCAACAAGAAUAAAUAACAAAAGGAUGAGAAACAGAA